This 759-nucleotide ribosomal RNA is filed under the name uncultured bacterium. Its description in RNAcentral is "bacterial SSU rRNA". It matches the Rfam family "Bacterial small subunit ribosomal RNA", at positions 23 to 812 of the family's 1533-position model. The record is from RNAcentral.
CUCAGAAUCAACGCUGGCGGCGUGCCUAACACAUGCAAGUCGAGCGAGAAAGUGGUAGCAAUACCAUGAGUAAAGCGGCGCACGGGUGAGUAACACGUGACUAACCUACCCUGGAGUGGGGAAUAACUGAGGGAAACCUUAGCUAAUACCGCAUAAUACCCACGGGUCAAAGGAGCAAUUCGCUCUGGGAGGGGGUCGCGGCCGAUUAGUUAGUUGGCGGGGUAAUGGCCCACCAAGACGAUGAUCGGUAUCCGGCCUGAGAGGGCGCACGGACACACUGGAACUGAAACACGGUCCAGACUCCUACGGGAGGCAGCAGUGGGGAAUUUUGCGCAAUGGGGGAAACCCUGACGCAGCAACGCCGCGUGGAGGAUGAAGUCCUUCGGGACGUAAACUCCUUUCGAUCGGGACGAUUAUGACGGUACCGGAAGAAGAAGCCCCGGCUAACUUCGUGCCAGCAGCCGCGGUAAUACGAGGGGGGCGAGCGUUGUUCGGAAUUAUUGGGCGUAAAGGGUGCGUAGGCGGUUUGGUAAGUCUUAUGUGAAAUCUAUGGGCUCAACUCAUAGACUGCAUGAGAAACUGCCGGGCUUGAGUGUGGGAGAGGUGAGUGGAAUUUCCGGUGUAGCGGUGAAAUGCGUAGAUAUCGGAAGGAACACCUGUGGCGAAAGCGGCUCACUGGACCACAACUGACGCUGAUGCACGAAAGCUAGGGGAGCAAACAGGAUUAGAUACCCUGGUAGUCCUAGCCCUAAACCAUGA